GAGCGGCCGGCAGCCCGAGCCCAGCGGCCGAGGGGCCCGAGACGGCCUCCUUCUCUCUGUGAGGCUGCAGUCUCGCGCCCCAGUGCGCCCCAUCCUAGCACUGGUAGCUUCGGCCACUCUUAUUUUCCCAAAAGAGGAAACUGGGCUCUAGGAAGUCUCGUCAACCAAGGUGAGAAAAUGGAAACCCAGAGCUGAGCUGUGGCCCAAAGCUCACUCCUUUAUCCAGCCAGCCAAUGGAGAUGCACUGAGAAUGAAAAAUCCCACGAUGCUCAGCACAGACCUGUUUCCUGAGUGUACGUCUCCCUCAGCAUCCCUACUGAACAGUCACCAAGGCACCUCAAGUCUCAGCAUGUCCGAAACUGAACACGCGACAUUCCCCUGAGCCAGGACCCUUGGCGCUGUUCUUGGCUGCGGAGAAUCCCUCUCCUGUCUAGACCUGCGCCAGCCGGGAACAUGGGUGGGUCAGCCCUGAUGCCCCUCUUCCCCUCACCUCCUCCUCUCCGAUCUGCCAUCUAGACCCCAACAUGCCUUCAUUACCCUGCCAACUGCUCUCAGGUUUGUGCUGCAGGAGAAGCAAUCAGCACAAACCACACCAUA
Long non-coding RNA from Suricata suricatta (meerkat), 597 nucleotides. RefSeq lists it as uncharacterized. The record is from RefSeq and is a predicted model, not a curated record. NCBI's taxonomy places the organism in Eukaryota, Metazoa, Chordata, Mammalia, Carnivora, Herpestidae. The transcript has 3 exons.